Molecule: ribosomal RNA, 497 nt
Filed under: uncultured bacterium
Lineage: Bacteria
Description: partial 16S ribosomal RNA
Rfam family: Bacterial small subunit ribosomal RNA
Source: RNAcentral
GAUGAACGCUGGCGGCGUGCCUAAUACAUGCAAGUCGAGCGAACAGACGAGGAGCUUGCUCCUCUGACGUUAGCGGCGGACGGGUGAGUAACACGUGGAUAACCUACCUAUAAGACUGGGAUAACUUCGGGAAACCGGAGCUAAUACCGGAUAAUAUAUUGAACCGCAUGGUUCAAUAGUGAAAGACGGUUUUGCUGUCACUUAUAGAUGGAUCCGCGCCGGAUUAGCUAGUUGGUAAGGUAACGGCUUACCAAGGCAACGAUGCGUAGGCGACCUGAGAGGGUGAUCGGCCACACUGGAACGGAGACACGGUCCAGACUCCUACGGGAGGCAGCAGUAUGGAAGCUUCCGCAAUGGGCGAAAGCCUGACGGAGCAACGCCGCGUGAGUGAUGAAGGUCUUCGGAUCGUAAAACUCUGUUAUUAGGGAAGAACAAAUGUGUAAGUAACUAUGCACGUCUUGACGGUACCUAGUCAGAAAGCCACGGCUAACUACGUG